Molecule: transfer RNA, 72 nt
Filed under: Gammaproteobacteria bacterium
Lineage: Bacteria; Pseudomonadati; Pseudomonadota; Gammaproteobacteria
Also listed under: 2 other names
Description: tRNA-Val
Rfam family: tRNA
About the family: Transfer RNA (tRNA) molecules are approximately 80 nucleotides in length. Their secondary structure includes four short double-helical elements and three loops (D, anti-codon, and T loops). Further hydrogen bonds mediate the characteristic L-shaped molecular structure. tRNAs have two regions of fundamental functional importance: the anti-codon, which is responsible for specific mRNA codon recognition, and the 3' end, to which the tRNAs corresponding amino acid is attached (by aminoacyl-tRNA synthetases). tRNAs cope with the degeneracy of the genetic code in two manners: having more than one tRNA (with a specific anti-codon) for a particular amino acid; and 'wobble' base-pairing, i.e. permitting non-standard base-pairing at the 3rd anti-codon position.
Source: RNAcentral
GGGCGCUUAGCUCAGGGGGAGAGCGCUUCCCUGACGCGGAAGAGGUCAGAGGUUCAAAUCCUCUAGCGCCCA